RNAcentral lists this long non-coding RNA (1750 nucleotides) under Struthio camelus australis. Its description in RNAcentral is "lncRNA (ENSSCUG00000015540.1)". Lineage: Eukaryota; Metazoa; Chordata; Aves; Struthioniformes; Struthionidae. The record is from RNAcentral.
GGCGGUUUCCCCAGCUGCCGGUUUUACUCGUAACAUUUUCAUGGAGCGGUCCGUUGAAAGAGAAGCUCGCUAAACGGGUAAUUGUAGGCGUGGAAUAGCAAAAGAACACGUGUUGGAACAGAAGAAAACACGUGGCCCUUGGCCUGGUUUCUAGGGCACGACGUCCUCCAUGCGUCACUGUCCGCCGGGGCCGCCUCUGCCUGCAACAGCUUCUUGGACAAUUUACUUAAAAUUUGCAAAAAUUUUUAGAUCCUAGAAAUUUUAUGUCAAGAGGUAAAGGAGACAGCUAAGGAGACCUCUCUAAGGACUCUCACGCUGGUCACAUCCAGAGAGUCCGUGGUCUAGAGUAGGAAGAAAGCUUCACAAAUUCACAGCGGUGUUUAUCAGUUACUACUGCAAAAGCAGAUGGCGUUUACAUCUUGUCUAAAGCUUUGUUCCUGCAAAGCCUUUGAGACUCGUGUAAUUCUGCUGCAAUUGCUCGACAUCGAUGAGGCUAUUCACCACGCGUAAAUUAAAAGUCCUGGUAAAUCUUUGCAGGGUUUAAAAGACUCUGUGUUCUGAUGAACUGUAGUAACGGUCUCUGGAGUCGAACACGUCAGGACAUGCUGUUUGAAACAGGAGGAAGAUUUCCUCCAGGCAACUCUGAAUGGUGCAGAGGAAACAUAAUGAACCACUCAGAAGUUAACUAGGAUGCUUCUCUGGCGAAAAGUGCUGAGGGGUUUGAAAACAACCACGAGUGCUCUGGAAAGCAGUUUUAUGCCCCACCGAAAGAACGAUGUACAGAAACAAUUACAGGAGAUGAACGUUUCAUGGAGCUGGUUAACAUCUCCUUUGAUGCUGCCUGUCCCAGACUUUGGCAGAGCCCUAGCAGAGAGUUCUGGCAAAAGCACGAGACCUGAAUGCCAGCGGAGACAGCAGCGUCAUCUUCACUGACCAGCACCCAGAGGAUCAUUCUGCUCUGAGCAGGUAGACGGUGUCUGCAAUCUCUCUGCUGCCCUUAGAGCCAGGGUUUGAGGAUGGAGAUGCCAUCAUCCAGCAGGAGUGAUUUAGGUUGCUGACAAGCUGACUUGUGAAUCUUGAUGGCCCGAUUUAAGCUAUGACUGUCACCACCUCUCUGGUGAUUAGCGCCCUUGCAGCAGAGGCUGAAGACAGAGGCACACACCAGUGCUGCAGGCAACCCCCAGGGAUGAAGGGGCACUGUGCAGUAAUGCUGGGCUCUGAACCGGGUGGCAUAGGGGCUGGCAUACGUUCCCUUCUGCCUCUCCCAUAGGUGGAGAGUGGAGGAGGCAGUAGUGCUGGAGCCCCAGGUAGCUGUUUACUCUGUGAAUGUGAGGCAGAGUCCUUACAAAAGCUCCCAAGGCUCCAGAGAUCCCAUGAUAGAAGCAUUGGUCAUGGCCUUGCCGCUCACACUGAGAUUUGAGCACAGUGUGGUGAACCCACAUUAAGGAAACAGGUCCAGGCACUAGCUGCAGCAUGCCAGGGAUCGAUAGUCAGCAUCGUCACGGCUGAAUUGCUGUGGUUACCUGAGGUGCCCAAAGCUAUGCGCUGGGGGUUGUAGUCCCAAAGCCGAUUGCAAUGCGGUUGCUGCCUGUGCUGCCCCAGCCAGAGCGCAGGCGUGACUUGGCUGUAGGGAGGCCUUAUCACUGUGUUCCUCUGUGGGCUUGGGGGUGGGCAUGGGGGAGGAGAAGGAAACGCGAGAGAUUUGGGAUUCGCACUUUCCGCCUCACUUCUGAGCUGUGCAGAAGCACAU